Molecule: ribosomal RNA, 253 nt
Filed under: uncultured bacterium
Lineage: Bacteria
Description: partial 16S ribosomal RNA
Rfam family: Bacterial small subunit ribosomal RNA
Source: RNAcentral
UACGUAGGCGGCAAGCGUUGUUCGGAAUUACUGGGCGUAAAGAGUACGUAGGUGGUUUGCCAAGUCCGAUGUGAAAUCUCCUGGCUUAACUGGGAGGGUGCGUUAGAUACUGGCAGGCUUGAGUGUGGGAGAGGAGAGCGGAAUUCCUGGUGUAGCGGUGAAAUGCGUAGAUAUCAGGAGGAACGCCUGUGGUGUAGACGGCUCUCUGGACCAUUACUGACACUGAGGUACGAAAGCUAGGGGAGCGAACGGG